Transfer RNA from Camelus ferus (Wild Bactrian camel), 71 nucleotides. It matches the Rfam family "tRNA". Rfam says of the family: Transfer RNA (tRNA) molecules are approximately 80 nucleotides in length. Their secondary structure includes four short double-helical elements and three loops (D, anti-codon, and T loops). Lineage: Eukaryota; Metazoa; Chordata; Mammalia; Artiodactyla; Camelidae. The record is from Rfam.
AGGGUAUAGCUCAGUGGUAGAGCACAUGCUUGGCAUGCACAAGAUCCAGGAUUCAAUUCCCAGUGCCUCUG